This 494-nucleotide ribosomal RNA is filed under the name uncultured bacterium. Its description in RNAcentral is "partial 16S ribosomal RNA". It matches the Rfam family "Bacterial small subunit ribosomal RNA", at positions 28 to 507 of the family's 1533-position model. The record is from RNAcentral.
GGCGAACGCUGGCGGCGUGCUUAACACAUGCAAGUCGAACGGUGAAGCGCCUUCCUUUUUGGUGGGUGUGGAUGAGUGGCGAACGGGUGAGUAACACGUGAGUAACCUGCCCCCUUCUUCUGGAUAACCGCAUGAAAGUGUGGCUAAUACGGGAUAUUCUGGGUCUGUCGCAUGAUGGGUCUGGGAAAGAUAUUGUUUCGGUGGGGGAUGGGCUCGCGGCCUAUCAGCUUGUUGGUGGGGUGAUGGCCUACCAAGGCGGUGACGGGUAGCCGGCCUGAGAGGGUGGACGGUCACACUGGGACUGAGACACGGCCCAGACUCCUACGGGAGGCAGCAGUGGGGAAUAUUGCACAAUGGGCGCAAGCCUGAUGCAGCGACGCCGCGUGAGGGAUGGAGGCCUUCGGGUUGUGAACCUCUUUCGCCAGUGAAGCAGGCCUGCCUCGUUUGUGGGUGGGUUGACGGUAGCUGGAUAAGAAGCGCCGGCUAACUACGUG